RNAcentral lists this ribosomal RNA (3012 nucleotides) under Omnitrophica bacterium SCGC AAA257-O07. RNAcentral describes it as "bacterial LSU rRNA". It matches the Rfam family "Bacterial large subunit ribosomal RNA". The record is from RNAcentral. Lineage: Bacteria; Pseudomonadati; Candidatus Omnitrophota.
CUAAGAGCCAUUGGUGGAUGAUUAGGCGCUUAAAGACGAUGAAGGACGUGGUAAGCUGCGAUAAGCCUCGGGGAGUUGCAAACAAACGUUGAUCCGAGGAUUUCCGAAUGGGGCAACCUUAUCCCGACUUCGGGAUAAAUCCUGUCUGAAUACAUAGGAUAGGAUAGUUAGACGGGGAGAAUUGAAACAUCUUAGUACCCCCAGGAGAAGAAAGAAAAUCGAUUCCGUUAGUAGCGGCGAGCGAAGACGGAACAGCCUAAACCUAUAAGAUGUCAAGCUUCGAGGCGUUGUCUUAUGGGUGUCGAGGGGCUCAACGGUCGAGGUCUCGAAACCUCGACGGGAAGAAAUCUUGUUCAAUUUCAGCAAAACGGCCUGGAACGGCCGGCCCAAGAAGGUGAUAGUCCUGUAUGCGAAGAAAUUGAGCACUUCUCGGUUGAGUACCCCAAGUAUUUCGCGAUAAGUGGAACCGCGUGAGAAUCCGGGAGAACCACCUCCUAAGGCUAAAUACUCUUAAGCGACCAAUAGUGAACAAGUACCGUGAGGGAAAAUUGAAAAGAACCCCUGUUAGGGGAGUGAAAUAGAACCUGAAACCAAUCGGCUUACAGGCGGUGGAAGGGCUAUGCCGAAAUCUUCGGAUUUCGGAAUGCCUGACUGCGUGCCUUUUGCAUAAUGAUCCGGCGACUUAUUGGAUGUGGCGAGGCUAAGCACCUGAGGGUGUGGAGCCGUAGCGAAAGCGAGUCCGAAACGGGCGCUUAGUCCCAUACAAUAGACCCGAAGCUGAGUGAGCUUACCAUGGCCAGGAUGAAGCGAGGGUAAAACCUCGUGGAGGUCCGAACAGGUGUAGGUUGAAAACUGCUCUGAUGAGCUGUGGUAAGGGGUGAAAGGCCAAUCAAACUCAGUAAUAGCUGGUACUCCUCGAAACAUCUUUAGGGAUGGUCUGGUGCAGUAGCCAACAGAGGUAGAGAACUCGAUGGGCUAGGGAACUUACCGGUUUACCGAACCCAAUGAAACUCCGAAUGCUGUUGGUGUAAUCACCGGAAUCAGUCCGUGGGGGAUAAGCUUCACGGUCGAGAGGGAAACAACCCAGAUCGCCGACUAAGGUCCCUAAAUCAAAGCUAAGUGGUAAAGGAUGUGAGAAUACAUAGACAACCAGGAUGUUGGCUUAGAGGCAGCCAUCAUUUAAAGAGUGCGUAACAGCUCACUGGUCAAGUGUUCUCGCGCCAAAAAUGAUCGGGGCUCAAGCUUUGUACCGAAGUCGCGGGCUUCAGUUCUCUUCGGAGCAACUGGAGCGGUAGAGGAGCAUUCCCAGGGCAUUGAAGCGGAACCGACGAGGAUCCGUGGAGCGCUGGGAAGAGAUUAUGCCGGAAUGAGUAGCGAUAAAACGGGUGAAAAACCCGUUCGCCGUAAACCCAAGGUUUCCCGGGGAAGGUUAAUCCGCCCGGGGUUAGUCGGUCCUAAGUCGAGGCCGGAUAGGCGUAGAUGAUGGAAAGCAGGUUUAAUAUUCCUGCACCGAUAGUUUCGCGUUACUAACUUGGGAAGUGCCAAGGAGGCUAAGUGAUCGCGCGGUUGGUUGUGCGCGUCCAAACCUGUAGCUCCCGCAAGGGAGUAAGGGGUGUUAGGGAGCUCGACUUACGAGAAGAGCGAACUCACUGAAGCCACACUUGCGAGAAAAGCUUCCUGAGUAAGUGGAACUAUUGACCGUACCGUAAUCGGACACACGUGGGUAGGGUGAAAAUCCUAAGGCGCUCGAGAGAAUCCUCGCUAAGGAACUAGGCAAAAUUGCCCCGUACCCUCGGUAGAAGGGGUGCCUGAGUAGGGUGAACGUCAAGGGAGCCCGAAAAGGUCGCAGUGACAUGGGCCAGCCGACUGUUUAACAAAAACACAGCUCUCUGCAAAGUCGACAAGACGACGUAUAGGGAGUGACACGUGCCCGGUGCCGGAAGGUCAAGCGGAGAGGUUAGCCCCGAGCUUUGCUCGAGGCGAAGCUUCAAAGUUAAGCCCCGGUAAACGGCGGCCGUAACUAUAACGGUCCUAAGGUAGCGAAAUUCCUUGUCGGGUAAGUUCCGACCUGCACGAAUCGUGUAACGAGUUGGCCGCUGUCUCAGCGAGGAGCUCGGUGAAAUUGUAGCAGCGGUGAAGAUGCCGCGAUCCCGCAACUAGACGGAAAGACCCCGUGCACCUUUACUGUAAGUUGGUAUUGAAUUUUGGUUUUGCGUGUGUAGCAUAGCCGGGAGACUUUGAAGCCCAGGCGCCAGCUUGGGCCGAGUCACAAUAUGAAAUACCGGUCUCAUGAAACUAGAGUUCUAACUUCGUUCCCUGAAUCGGGGCGAAAAACAGUGCCAACCUGGCAGUUUGACUGGGGCGGUCGCCUCCCAAACAGUAACGGAGGCGUUCAAAGGUCUGCUUAGUGUGGUCGGCAAUCACACGGUAAGCGCAAAAGCAUAUAGCAGGCUUGACUGCGAGACCAACAAGUCGAGCAGGGAGGAAACUCGGAUUUAGUGAUCCGGUGGUCCAAAGUUGGAAUGGCCAUCGCUCAUCGGACAAAAGGUACGCCGGGGAUAACAGGCUUAUCGGGCCCAAGAGUUCAUAUCGACGGCCCGGUUUGGCACCUCGAUGUCGGCUCAUCACAUCCUGGGGCUGGAGAAGGUCCCAAGGGUUCGGCUGUUCGCCGAUUAAAGUGGUACGUGAGCUGGGUUCAGAACGUCGUGAGACAGUUCGGUCCCUAUCUGUUGUGGGCGUAGGAAACUUGAGGAGAUCUCUUUCUAGUACGAGAGGGCCGAAAGAGACGAACCGCUCGUUUACCUGUUGUUCUGCCAAGAGCACCGCAGGGUAUCGAUGUUCGGACUGGAUAAGCGCUGAAAGCAUCUAAGCGCCAAGCCAACUCCAAGAUAAAGUUUCCCAACCGGUUUUCGGUUUAAAAGACCCCUCGAAGACUACGAGGUUGAUAGGCGGGAGGUGUAAGAGGAGCAAUCCUUUCAGCUUACCCGUACUAAUCGGUCGUUCGGCUUGACA